AGCUCCAAUAGCGUAUAUUAACGUUGUUUUGGUUAAGAAGCUCGUAGUUGGAUUUCUGCCGAGGACGGCCGGUCCACCCUGCGGGUGAGUAUGUGGGACGACCCGGGCACCUUCUCGGAGAACGUGUCUGCACUUGACUGUGUGGUGCGGUAUCGAGAGUUUUUAUUUGGAGGAAAUUAGAAUGUUUCAAGCCGGCCCACGCUUUGAAUACAUUUACAUGGCAUAAUAAGGUAGGACCUCGUUUCUACGUUGUUGGUUUCUAGAGCUGAGGUAAUGCUCAAUAGGGAUAGUGUGGGGCAUUCGUAUUUAAUUGUCAGAGGUGAAAUUCGUGGAUUUGUUAAACACGGGCUUCUGCGAAAGCAUUUGCCAAUGCUGUCUUCA
Molecule: ribosomal RNA, 381 nt
Filed under: uncultured eukaryote
Lineage: Eukaryota
Description: SSU rRNA
Rfam family: Eukaryotic small subunit ribosomal RNA
Source: RNAcentral